This 253-nucleotide ribosomal RNA is filed under the name uncultured bacterium. Its description in RNAcentral is "partial 16S ribosomal RNA". It matches the Rfam family "Bacterial small subunit ribosomal RNA", at positions 524 to 776 of the family's 1533-position model. The record is from RNAcentral.
UACGGAGGGUGCAAGCGUUAUCCGGAAUUACUGGGCGUAAAGGGUGCGUAGGUGGUUUGUUAAGUCUGCUGUGAAAUCCCCGGGCUCAACCUGGGAAUGGCAGUGGAUACUGGCAAGCUAGAGUGCGGUAGAGGGUAGUGGAAUUCCCGGUGUAGCAGUGAAAUGCGUAGAGAUCGGGAGGAACACCAGUGGCGAAGGCGGCUACCUGGACCAGCACUGACACUGAAGCACGAAAGCGUGGGGAGCAAACAGG